RNAcentral lists this ribosomal RNA (378 nucleotides) under uncultured bacterium. RNAcentral's name for it is "bacterial SSU rRNA". It matches the Rfam family "Bacterial small subunit ribosomal RNA", at positions 30 to 406 of the family's 1533-position model. The record is from RNAcentral.
AUUGAACGCUGGCGGCAGGCCUAACACAUGCAAGUCGAGCGGUAGAGAGGUGCUUGCAUCUCUUGAGAGCGGCGGACGGGUGAGUAAUGCCUAGGAAUCUGCCUAGUGGUGGGGGGAUAACGUUCGGAAACGGACGCUAAUACCGCAUACGUCCUACGGGAGAAAGCGGGGGAUCUUCGGACCUCGCGCCAUUAGAUGAGCCUAGGUCGGAUUAGCUAGUUGGUGAGGUAAUGGCUCACCAAGGCGACGAUCCGUAACUGGUCUGAGAGGAUGAUCAGUCACACUGGAACUGAGACACGGUCCAGACUCCUACGGGAGGCAGCAGUGGGGGAAUAUUGGACAAUGGGCGAAGACCUGAUCCAGCCAUGCCGCGUGUGU